RNAcentral lists this ribosomal RNA (254 nucleotides) under uncultured bacterium. RNAcentral describes it as "partial 16S ribosomal RNA". It matches the Rfam family "Bacterial small subunit ribosomal RNA", at positions 524 to 776 of the family's 1533-position model. The record is from RNAcentral.
UACGAAGGGGGGCUAGCGUUGCUCGGAAUUACUGGGCGUAAAGGGCGCGUAGGCGGAUAUUUAAGUUAGAGGUGAAAGCCCAGGGCUCAACCCUGGAAUAGCCUUUAAUACUGGAUAUCUUGAGUUCGGGAGAGGUGAGUGGAAUGCCGAGUGUAGAGGUGAAAUUCGUAGAUAUUCGGCGGAACACCAGUGGCGAAGGCGACUCACUGGCCCGAUACUGACGCUGAUGCGCGAAAGCGUGGGGAGCAACAGGG